RNAcentral lists this ribosomal RNA (465 nucleotides) under uncultured bacterium. Its description in RNAcentral is "bacterial SSU rRNA". It matches the Rfam family "Bacterial small subunit ribosomal RNA", at positions 28 to 507 of the family's 1533-position model. The record is from RNAcentral.
GACGAACGCUGGCGGCGUGCUUAAUACAUGCAAGUCGAGCGGUGAACCCGACUGAAAGCCUUCGGGCUUGACGUUGGGGGAUCAGCGGCGGAUGGGUGAGUAACGCGUGGGUACCUGCCCUAAAGUCUGGGAUAACAACUCGAAAGGGUUGCUAAUACCGGAUGUGACCGAGAGGUUAAAGGCAGAGAUGUCGCUUUAGGAUGGGCCCGCGUCCCAUUAGCUAGUUGGUGAGGUAAGGGCUCACCAAGGCUGCGAUGGGUAGCCGGCCUGAGAGGGUGGACGGCCACACUGGGACUGAGACACGGCCCAGACUCCUACGGGAGGCAGCAGUGGGGAAUAUUGGACAAUGGGCGCAAGCCUGAUCCAGCAAUGCCGCGUGGAUGAAGAAGGUCUUCGGAUUGUAAAGUCCUUUCGGCGGGGACGAUGAUGACGGUACCCGCAGAAGAAGCCCCGGCUAACUUCGUG